Molecule: non-coding RNA, 86 nt
Organism: Sodiomyces alkalinus F11
Lineage: Eukaryota; Fungi; Ascomycota; Sordariomycetes; Glomerellales; Plectosphaerellaceae
Source: the annotation of a RefSeq genome assembly
UCUCCGAUCGUAUAGGGGCUAGACUCUAGUAUGCCGGCAACCAGCUGGUCACGCUGGAGACCGGGGUUCAAGUCCCCGUUGAAGAG